GGAUAUUAAGGAUUGGUCUACCCGACUUGAAAUCGGGUGCCCGCAGGGGCCGUGAGUUCGGCUCUUACCCUCUCCU
This 76-nucleotide transfer RNA is filed under the name Nodosilinea sp. WJT8-NPBG4. RNAcentral's name for it is "tRNA-Ser". Lineage: Bacteria; Bacillati; Cyanobacteriota; Cyanophyceae; Nodosilineales; Nodosilineaceae. The record is from RNAcentral. RNAcentral also lists the same sequence under 1 other name.